This 253-nucleotide ribosomal RNA is filed under the name uncultured bacterium. Its description in RNAcentral is "partial 16S ribosomal RNA". It matches the Rfam family "Bacterial small subunit ribosomal RNA", at positions 524 to 776 of the family's 1533-position model. The record is from RNAcentral.
UACGUAGGGUGCGAGCGUUUAAUCGGAAUUACUGGGCGUAAAGCGCGCGUAGGCGGCUCUGCAAGCCGGAUGUGAAAUCCCCGGGCUCAACCUGGGAACUGCAUUCGGGACUGCAUUGCUAGAGUAUGGGAGAGGGAAGUGGAAUUUACGGUGUAGCGGUGAAAUGCGUAGAUAUCGGAAGGAACAUCAGUGGCGAAAGCGACUUCCUGGACCAAUACUGACGCUCAUGUGCGAAAGCGUGGGAGCAAACAGG